RNAcentral lists this small RNA (125 nucleotides) under Marmota monax (woodchuck). The record is from RNAcentral. Lineage: Eukaryota; Metazoa; Chordata; Mammalia; Rodentia; Sciuridae.
GCUGGGUGUAGUGGCCCAUGCCUGUAAUCCCAGCAGCUCAGGAGGCUGAGGCAGGAGGAUCAUAGAUUCAAAGCUAGCCUCAGCAAAAGCAAGGCACUUAGCAACUCAGUGAGACCCUGUCUCUA